UAUACAUACACACAUACAUGUG
This 22-nucleotide microRNA is filed under the name Hyalella azteca. RNAcentral's name for it is "miR-466b-3". Lineage: Eukaryota; Metazoa; Arthropoda; Malacostraca; Amphipoda; Hyalellidae. The record is from RNAcentral.